This 503-nucleotide ribosomal RNA is filed under the name uncultured bacterium. RNAcentral's name for it is "partial 16S ribosomal RNA". It matches the Rfam family "Bacterial small subunit ribosomal RNA", at positions 28 to 523 of the family's 1533-position model. The record is from RNAcentral.
GAUGAACGCUAGCGGCAGGCCUAACACAUGCAAGUCGAGGGGUAGCAGGAUUAAGCUUGCUUAAUUGCUGACGACCGGCGCACGGGUGCGUAACGCGUAUGCAACCUACCUUAUACUGGGGUAUAGCCCGGAGAAAUUCGGAUUAAUCCCCCAUAGUACUAAUGAAUCGCAUGGUUUAUUAGUUAAAGCAUCGCGGUAUAAGAUGGUCAUGCGUCCUAUUAGCUAGAUGGUGAGGUAACGGCUCACCAUAGCUACGAUAGGUAGGGGGCCUGAGAAGGGGGUCCCCCACACUUGUACUGAGACACGGACCAGACUGCUACGGGAGGCAGCAGUGAGGAAUAUUGGUCAAUGGGCGCAAGCCUGAACCAGCCAUGCCGCGUGCAGGAAGAAUGCCCUAUGGGUUGUAAACUGCUUUUAUUUGGGAAUAAACCUCUUUACGUGUAGAGAGCUGAAGGUACCAAAUGAAUAAGCACCGGCUAACUCCGUGCCAGCCGCCGCAGUAA